AGACGAACCGUCCAAACGUUAUUCGGAAUUACUGGGCUUAAAGGGUGCGUAGGCGGCUUCGCAAGUUGGGUGUGAAAGCCCUCGGCUCAACCGAGGAAUGGCGCCCAAAACUGCGGAGCUCGAGGGAGACAGAGGUGAGUGGAACUUGUGGUGGAGCGGUGAAAUGCGUUGAUAUCACAAGGAACACCGGUGGCGAAAGCGGCUCACUGGGUCUCUUCUGACGCUGAGGCACGAAAGCUGGGGGAGCGAACGGGAUUAGAUACCCCGGUAGUCCCAGCUGUAAACGAUGAGCACUAGAUCGAAGGGUCCUCCAUAGCCUUUCGGUCGUAGCGAAAGUGUUAAGUGCUCCGCCUGGGGAGUAUGGUCGCAAGGCUGAA
RNAcentral lists this ribosomal RNA (377 nucleotides) under uncultured bacterium. Its description in RNAcentral is "bacterial SSU rRNA". It matches the Rfam family "Bacterial small subunit ribosomal RNA", at positions 523 to 898 of the family's 1533-position model. The record is from RNAcentral.